AUGAAAGUUUCCAAAAUUGUCACCAUCAUACUGAAGAGAACGAGAGAGAAAAUGCAUAAGAAAUGGCUUACUCGGUGGCAUCCUUCUAUGCCAGUGGUUCCCAACCUUUUUUUGAUCAAGGCCCACUUGACCAGGGCCUCCUUUGACCAGGGACCACUAUCCAACAUUGGUACCAAAAGGGUUACGGUUUUUGGUCAACUUUAUAUUCAGUUUGGUUAUUUGGGGUGCUGAUUCAGAAAACUGCAUUGCAUAGACUACAUCAGCUCUAGUUUCUGAUACAGAACAUACGCCAUCCAGUAGUCACCAUCUGCUUGCCCACAGAAAACCAUAUUUAAUAAUCUAGAACUGAUGUGGUCUAUCUAAUGCAGUGGUUAGCUCUGUGGAAAGGAGUGGAAAUAAAAUAAAUUAAUAAAUAAAGAGGUAGGAGGUUCGCAGACCAGAUUUUCAUUCUCGCGGCCCACUGCUGGGCUGUGGCCCACAGGUUGAGAACCACAGAAUAGAAUAAUUUAUAUAUAUAGUUUAUAAACUAGGAGUUAAUCACACAAGAUAGACAAAUCACAAUUACAGCAGGAGAACAGAGUCUAUGUCCUGGACUUAUUACAUGAUAUUACUUCUUUCCAUCUCUUUCCAUUGUGAGACCAUUGGAAGAUGUUUCUUUUACAGACUAUCACAUGAGGCUGGUAAAUCACAAUUACAGCAAGAUGUUUGUAGUUAUCAGAGGAUGCCAUAACUCUUUUGUUGCGGCUUUGCAUUUCAAUUGUUAGUGGAGCACUUUUUUCAUUGAUGAGGGAAACCUACCAAUGACUCCCAACAUUGUGACUGUUAGAAUGAAUCCCUACUGGAUUCCUUCUGGUAGUUACGUGAUGUGAAUGGUCAUUAUUUUCUUCCUUUCCUCUUCACAAUGUCUUUUAUAGACCCUUUCUUCUGUUUUUUAAUCAUUUUGACAAAAUUGUGCAAUCACUGCAAAAAUAAAUUAAAAAUCGAAAAGCACAUAUGUGCUGGGUAGGCUAUACAUAGGCAAGAAAACAGGGUUAGUGAGGUGGUGUAUAAGAGUGACUGUGAGACUAUGCAUGAGAAAUGUGAUAGUGAUUAAUGUGUUGUCGAAGGCUUUCAUGGCAGGAAUUACUGGGCUGCUGUGAGUUUUCUGAGCUGUAUGGCCAUUUCCAGAAGCAUUCUCUCCUGAUGCUUCAUCCACAUCUAUGGCAGGCAUCCCCAGAGGUUGUGAGGCCUGCUGGAAACUAGGCAAGUGGGAUUUAUAUAUUUGUGGAAAGUCCAGGGUGGGAGAAAAAAACCUCUUUCUUGUUUGAGGCAAAUGUGAAUGUUGCAAUUGGCCACCUUGAUUAGCAUUGAAAAGCCUUGCAGAGAUAGUGAUAGUGAUUGUUUCAAUACCAGUAUGUUUCCAUGUGCUUCAACAGUGUGAUUUCUGUGAGCCGACAGGUUGAUAUGAUAAAGUCCUCCAAAAGGAGGUCAUUAAGGCUGUUUUUUUUAUCAGGAGAGCAGUGGGGAUAAGAAAUAACAGUGUAUUUGCAUAGUGAUAAAUAUGCUGUUGUCCUGUUGUAAUGGUGAUUUGCCUGCUUUGUGUGAAAAAGUAAUUAUUUCAGUUAAUUACAUUAUUAAAUUAUUAAUUUGAUGUCAAAAUGGCACUCUUAGAAGAUAACAGCAAUGGAGAACAGCUUAAAUGCAAUUUCUUAAUUGAAACGUAAUAUGAAUGAUUUAAUUGACCAUGAGUAAGGACAUUUCUUCAUACCACAUGCUUUCACUUACAACUCCCAUUAGUCUUAUCCAAUAUGGUCAGUGGUAAAGGGCUGUGACAGUUGCAAUCCAAAACAU
This 1830-nucleotide long non-coding RNA is filed under the name Anolis carolinensis (green anole). RNAcentral's name for it is "lncRNA (ENSACAG00000038176.1)". The record is from RNAcentral. Lineage: Eukaryota; Metazoa; Chordata; Lepidosauria; Squamata; Anolidae.